Molecule: long non-coding RNA, 3180 nt
Organism: Coffea eugenioides
Lineage: Eukaryota; Viridiplantae; Streptophyta; Magnoliopsida; Gentianales; Rubiaceae
Exons: 2
Source: RefSeq, a predicted model, not a curated record
CUUCAGUACAAAAAAGCUUGGUUAGUCGGAAAAAUCUAUUGGGCGCCUUUUUUUUUGUCCUGCUUCACAACCCAAAAGCAUGAAAGAAAACAUCCUGCAUUGCUCAAUUAGUGUUAUUUGGGUAGAAAUUCAUUCUCCUCCUUUUUUUUCUCUCUUUAUGGUAAUUAGAAGAUAACAUGUUCAUAAUGAUGGCUUUUGGUAAUAUUAAAUUACAUGUUUUGUAGGUGUUUAGUCGUCACGAGAAAUUAACUGAGCCUUUUUUUAAGUAUCUAUAUCUGAUUUCUUCUUUUUUUUUUGUCCCCUGGUUUCUGAAGAAUUAGAAAAAUGAAGCAUUUUUUUGUUUUUUUCCCUUUUUUAAUCCUUAUUUUUUGGAGAAAUGGGGAUGGACGUUGCUGGAGUUAUGUCACUUUCAAAGGACUGCAUUUGAUAAUUUAUUUUUGAAGAUAGAGCUUUGUAAAUCUCGAGUAGUGAAUAGUGCAGAACAGUUGGCACUGCUGUCAUAGAGAUUUGAACAUCUACAAAUGGAAAAAGUACAAUUGACCUUGGAUCUAUUUGACUUUCGUGCGUAUGUGAUUACAGUAAGCAUUUAAAUACUAUAAUGUAAGAGAUUUCAAAACAAAAUUCAGGGUCAUAUUAUGUGCUAUACCAUAUACUCGUGUGGCAUUUUGGGAAAUGAUUAAUGCUACAGAUUGUGCAACUAUAGCAUCUCAUCCUGCUCAUACCAUUAAUGCUAGAUUGGCUACAUGAAAAAUUUCUUAUGCUUUUGAUGGCUUUCUGCAGUGUGGAAUAGGGAUCAGUCCUAUUUGUGUUGCAAGUGCUUUACUAGCACAUUUUUACUUCUAUGCUAAUUUAUUAAGAUGUAGCCAAAAAAUGAAGUUCUUUUGUUGGUUAUCCUCCUUUUUGGUAAACAGAAUGUCAUUAAUACCAUUGCGUUACUGUCUUUGUGUUGACAUCACGUCUAUUUUUUCUUGAGCAAGCGUACUUGUAACCUUAAGUCUGGUGAAGGUGUUCAAAUGAAAUCUGUGCAACACUAGGAUCAAGAAUGUGCCAUAGAAGGUCUCGUCUUUAAAUUUUGGCAUGAGAAGGUUUUUAAUGUGCUAUAGAAACACUGAUUGCUUCUUUUCUUGGUGCACAUUCAUCUGUGAUUUUUCUCGUCUUUUAACUUCGUUUAUACUCUCAUAUUACAAUUUGCAUUUUUACAGAGUGAGGAAGAAAAGGAAGAACAACCUCUGUGAGGUUUGUGGAGGAUGGCAAAAAAUUGUGGUAAAACUCCUGCUCCUAAUUUUUUCACGGUACUUUGGGCCUUUUGUUUUUAGAUUUUAAUAGUCUUCUUUUAAAUACUAGCUUUGAGUGAAUCCUUUUACCUGUCAAAAUGAAAUCUGCCAAAAUUAUAUCAAGUGCAUCUGUUAAAUCAGAAGUUAAAUGAUAAAUAACAUUAACUAAUAUGGAACAAAAGGGUCGAGGUUAAGAUUUUUCACUUUCACUUUUGUAGAGAAGUUUAAAGAUUUUUCGAAGAAACCUCUAAGCUGGUUCAGGAAUCAUUUUUUGCUCAGUUAAAAGUUGAAUCCUUUUGUUCUUUUCUUGUUUUUUCACUGAAUAUAGGACCUGGUCUUCAUGCAAUUUCUGUCUCUGCAUCUUAUAGGACAAGUCAAUAUUUCUAAAGUAGUAUAUGUUUGAGAGUAAGAUUAUAGAGAUGAUUGUCUACACAACUGAAAGUACUUUGCCAUUGCAAUUUCUCAGGGAUAAAUUUUUUCCCAUCAGAUUUUUAUCUCUAACCUUUUCUUUCUUCUUUCCUCUUUUUCUGGUAUCCAGUACAGGAAGAAGCAAUCUUUAUUUGUGGUCCAGGAAUAAACAAAUGGUGAAGAUAGCCUUUAAAUAGGUGUUUGUUCACCUUUUAUUGUUGUUUUUUCUUUUUUGGGUUUUAAUGAUAGUAUAAGUUCUAAUUAAUUGAGUUUUUGUUUAAUUGAUCCGUGAGAAUAUCUUAAGCUAGGUGACUUGGUUGAGCAGAUAUUGUGCACAUCUGUAUUUGGAACUCCAUAGCAUGGCAGCUUCCUUAUUUGGCUAUCUAGAUAGACUAUUUUGUAGUCUGAAAAUGUCAUCUUCUUUUGAUGGGCUUUUGAAUAACGAAUCAUUAGUUUCUAUUCAUUGAUUAAUUGUAUAGAUUGAUUUCACUUUUGUUGUUAGAGUAGGUUUAACUUGGUAAUAAAUUUGUAUAUUUCAUCUUUAACCUUUUGGGUUCAUUUCUUGAACUUCAAUAUUUAUAGGUAUAAACUUGUUGAAAAAAGGAUGAGAGGCAUUGGCAGUAUGAGGAGAGACGUAAAAGAAAAGAAGAAAGGUGUGCGAAAAAAUGCAAGUUGAAAUACUGAUACUAAAAUCAUUAUGGUCAUUAUUGUAAUGAUUAAAAUGUUAAGAAAAAGCUAGAGAUUCAGUUUCAAGAAAAGACCCUUGGGUUACUUGGCUCUAAGAUAGGCAUUGGUCAUUUAAGUUUCGUAUUCUUUGGGAAAUUCACUAUCAUUUGACCAUUUCAAUAUUCUUUUACCAUAAUAGAGCUAAUGUGUUUGGUUGCCUGUAACAUUGAUAGCUAUUUAAUGUAACUUGUCUUGACUCCUCACAGCUAAAAUGGAUUGAUGAGGAUUUCCUGAGCUAUGACUUUGAGUUCAACAUUUUGCUGACUUGCUAAAUUUGUUAAGAGAAUUUUCUUCACUUUCCUUGGAAUAUGUUUCUGUUGUUCUAUGUGCAGGUUAUUAGUCAAGAUAUGGAGAUUAAAGGACCUCAUUUAAAACAUCUGACACUUCUUUAGGUUUUGUUGUUCUAGGCCCAAUCAGAUAUCUUUAUACUUACUGUUAUUUGAUUGUGUGGCUUGAGUUCAAAUUAAGUAAAUUAUUUGAGAGAAUGCUUAAUGAUUUGUCAGGCUUGUUUUGCUUAGCAAUGAGUCAAAACCCGAAGAGUGGAAAAACUCUUACCGUUUCCGUUGCAUUAUCAUGAUUGAAGUAUCAUGCACCCCUAGAAUCAAGAUUGGAAUUAUUUCUGUCUGUCCUGCAUGGAUCUACAGUGAUUAUUUAUUAGCCUCAUUUUUGGAUACAUAUUAUUGUAGACAUUAUGUACCUUUUACAUUUUAAAUAAGAGGUUUUGUUUGUAAAGAUAGUAACCAACUUUUGUUUCAAUGCAUCAUAUUGUGUA